This 507-nucleotide ribosomal RNA is filed under the name uncultured fungus. RNAcentral describes it as "SSU rRNA". It matches the Rfam family "Eukaryotic small subunit ribosomal RNA", at positions 233 to 738 of the family's 1831-position model. The record is from RNAcentral. Lineage: Eukaryota; Fungi.
UUCGGGCUCUCGGUGAUUGCUAAAUAACUUAACGAAUCGCAUGGCCUUGCGCGGGAUGGUUCAUUCAAAUUUCUGGCCCUAUCAACUUUCGAUGGUAGGAUAGUGGCCUACCAUGGUGGCAACGGGUAACGGGGAAUUAGGGUUCGAUUCCGGAGAGGGAGCCUGAGAAACGGCUACCACAUCCAAGGAAGGCAGCAGGCGCGCAAAAUUACCCAAUCCCGAUACGGGGAGGUAGUGACAAUAAAUACUGAUACGGGGCUCUUUUGGGUCUCGUAAUUGGAAUGAGAACAAUUUAAAUCCCUUAACGAGGAACAAUUGGAGGGCAAGUCUGGUGCCAGCAGCCGCGGUAAAUUCCAGCUCCAAUAGCGUAUAUUAAAGUUGUUGCAGUUAAAAAGCUCGUAGUUGAACCUUGGGUUCUUGGCUUGGCCGGUCCGCCAUCACCGGAGUACUAGGUCCAGGAUGGGACCUUUCCUUCUGGGGAACCUCAUGGCCUUCACUGGCUGUGGG